This 1130-nucleotide ribosomal RNA is filed under the name Tiarina fusus. RNAcentral's name for it is "Tiarina fusa partial Eukaryotic large subunit ribosomal RNA". It matches the Rfam family "Eukaryotic large subunit ribosomal RNA", at positions 1 to 985 of the family's 3401-position model. Lineage: Eukaryota; Ciliophora; Prostomatea; Prorodontida; Colepidae. The record is from RNAcentral.
GAUCUCAAAUCAAGUGAGGAUACCCGCUGAAUUUAAGCAUAUUAAUAAGCGGAGGAAAAGAAACUAACAAGGAUUUCCAUAGUAACGGCGAGUGAAGUGGAAUUAGCUCAAAUUUAAAAUCUAUUAUUCUGUAAUAGAAUUGUAAUUUUUGAAUAUGUAAUCAAUUGUUAAUUAUGAAUGAAAAUCUCUUGGAAAAGAGUAUCAAAGAAGGUGAUAAUCCUGUGAAUCAUUUAUAAUUAAUAAUUAUAUGUUUAUAUGUUUUAGAGUCGGGUUGUUUGGGAAUGCAAUCUUAAAUGGGUGGUAUAUCUCAUCUAAAGCUAAAUAUUAACAAGAGACCGAUAGCAAACAAGUACCGUGAGGGAAAGGUGAAAAGAACUUUGAAAAGAGAGUGAAAAGUACUUGAAAUUGUUUACAGGGAAACGCUUUAAUCCUUUAUUCUAUUUAUUCAAUUGCUGAUUUAUUUAUGAUUAUUAUUUUCUAUGAUUUCGUAAGUUUUAUAUUGAGUAUUAUGAAGUAAAUACUUUGGUAUUUUGAAUGAAAAGACGCAACAUCAAUUAUAAUCAAUUUAAAAUAAUUUUAUGGAGGUAGUGUUCGUUUCUUGGAACAAACAUGAAACAUAAUUUCUAUAAAUUGAAUAUAAUUGGCAUGUCAAAUUUAUGCCUCUAGGCUGUAAAGUAAGUGAUAUUUUAUAUAAAUGAUGAAGACUUCAAAGAAGUGUUUGUUAUUUAUGUUUUAUAUUUAUUUAUUAAUAAAAUAAAUUAAUGAUUGUUGCGAUAAAGAGUUAAAUCGACCCGUCUUGAAACACGGACCAAGGAGUCUAACAUGUAUACGAGUAUAUAAGUUUUAAAACUUUUAUGCAUAAUGAAAGUAAGAUGGUAAGAAUAUUCUUUAUGAAUAUGCAUUAUCGAUCAAUCUGGAUCCUUGAGUGAAAGAAUUGAAUAGAAGUAUAUAUGAUAGGACCCGAAAGAUGGUGAACUAUACUUGAGUAGAACGAAGACAGAGGAAACUCUGUUGGAGGUUCGAAGGGGUUCUGACGUGCAAAUCGAUCUUCAAACUUGAGUAUAGGGGCGAAAGACUAAUCGAACCAUCUAGUAGCUGGUUCCCUCCGAAAUUUCCCUCAGGAUAGCUGC